This 496-nucleotide ribosomal RNA is filed under the name uncultured bacterium. Its description in RNAcentral is "partial 16S ribosomal RNA". It matches the Rfam family "Bacterial small subunit ribosomal RNA", at positions 28 to 506 of the family's 1533-position model. The record is from RNAcentral.
GAUGAACGCUGGCGGCGUGCCUAAUACAUGCAAGUCGAGCGAACAGACGAGGAGCUUGCUCCUCUGACGUUAGCGGCGGACGGGUGAGUAACACGUGGAUAACCUACCUAUAAGACUGGGAUAACUUCGGGAAACCGGAGCUAAUACCGGAUAAUAUAUUGAACCGCAUGGUUCAAUAGUGAAAGACGGUUUUGCUGUCACUUAUAGAUGGAUCCGCGCCGCAUUAGCUAGUUGGUAAGGUAACGGCUUACCAAGGCAACGAUGCGUAGCCGACCUGAGAGGGUGAUCGGCCACACUGGAACUGAGACACGGUCCAGACUCCUACGGGAGGCAGCAGUAGGGAAUCUUCCGCAAUGGGCGAAAGCUUGACGGAGCAACGCCGCGUGAGUGAUGAAGGUCCUCGGAUCGUAAAACUCUGUUAUUAGGGAAGAACAAAUGUGUAAGUAACUAUGCACGUCUUGACGGUACCUAAUCAGAAAGCCACGGCUAACUACGU